CGUGACGUCACCGCGGUUUGCCGGAACCCGGCUGGAAGCAAGCCUCGGCUCGGCUCGAUCUGGCCCCAGCUCCGCUCGGGUCCGAAAGCGGCAGUCAGCUGUGAGCCGCCGAGGUCACGACGUCGAGGUCUGAGGUGUUCGUUGAUGUAACCUCAACGUUAACCAUGUGCUCUGAACAGGCGCCCGCACCAAGUGUGUACUGCUCAGCUAAGUUGGGCCAAUCAUGUUAGGCUAAACGCUACCAAAGCUUUGCCUGGCCCUCCAGCAGCAGACCACCUCGAACAAGCAACCGAUCCCCUCUGCCUUCAAGUCCAUAGAGACAACAUGACUCAUCAUCACCACCAACACCAACAAUUUGGAGAUUGUGAGCGGUCCCUUCAAGAAGUCACGCGCUACGCGGCACAGUACUGAACGGGCACCAAACGGCCCCUACCCCAACAGCUGCCCUGCGAGCCGCUGGCCGGCUCCUCCCGCUCUCCGCCUCCAGUGGCUGUCUUUACCCAUAAUUUUAAGUAGCCCGUUUUGAUAAAGAUGCGGUUUGAUAAGGUUAAUAAAGAUUCGUUUGCCGUC
Long non-coding RNA from Frankliniella occidentalis (western flower thrips), 570 nucleotides. RefSeq lists it as uncharacterized. The record is from RefSeq and is a predicted model, not a curated record. The transcript has 2 exons. NCBI's taxonomy places the organism in Eukaryota, Metazoa, Arthropoda, Insecta, Thysanoptera, Thripidae.